UUAGGCUCAAGUCCCAAUACGUUCUGCUGCUGCGUGCAUCCCACGUUUCUCUACUUAAAUACGGUCCGUAUACAUGUAUACAUGAUAUACGGAGAGAAUGAACUCACGGAGAAACAGUAGGGCUGUGGAAGGUUGGAUAGAAAUGUAGUCUCUGUAAGAAGUAUUCCUUGAUAUUUAUCCAUGGUUUUUGGCUUUGUGUAAUCCACGACUGUAUUAUCAUCUUCAUGCAUGACUGAAUAGCUCCCCCAAUAAUUCAUAUGGCCAAUACUAGUCAACCUCUAUUUGCAGCUACCCCUGUCUUAUCACCCACUUUGUUUGUUUACGGGCGGACAUGGUAGAAAGAUCGGAGGGAACACGAAAAAGCGUGCUAUCAGGACAUGUGAAUGGGGUCAGACGCAUCUAUGCAACCCGCUUCCCAAGAUGGCCUUUCAAGAUUUGAGCCUGCUGUUAUUAAUAUGGAGCGGUUUGUGGAGGAAGAAGAAGAAGAAGAAGAGGAAGGGAGAUGUGAUGGGGACGCUUUGUUGCCCACCUCAUUCGAUCGACAUAUGCUUUUCCUUCCCCUUGGUCUCUUCAUCUGCUCGUACAUAUUGAAUACUCGAACGCUUGUUGUUCUCAUAUGUUGUGGAUGCAUAUGGAUGUGCAUGGAUUCUGAGUGUGUUUCUUGUUUCUUUUGUGUUGCUGUUUUGUCUCAGUUUACGAGUAGUUCAGCUUAGAGAUUUGGAGGGAUUUUUUGGGUUCGAGGUGGAGCUCCUUGAAGUCCAAAGGAGGGUCUUGGUUGGGUGGAUUGAGCUGCUGGUUUAUGGAUUCCACUGCCCUAUUCCAUGUUUUCUUUGCUAUAGUUGAUGACAAAGAUGGUGAAUGUUUUGGGAUAGGCUUGUGGUUUGCAUAACUCAGGAGCUGCAUCAACCCAGCCUGACCUUUAUUUGGAUUGAAGGGAGCUCUACAUCUGUUUAUUCCAACUUUCUGUUCUUGUUUUCAUUUCUAUGUCUUGUUUCAGAAUCACAACCCUCUCUCUCUCUCUCUCUCUCUCUCAGUCUGCUUCUUUCUUGAUUAUUGCCAAGAUUUUGAUGAGGGUUUGCAUCAUAUAAAGGGGUUUUCUGCCUACUUUAUUUGGAUCGUGUUAUUCUUUGGCAAUAUACCGGAUAUCAUUACAUCUUAAAUAACAGCAGCAGUGUAAAAUCUUUCAUUGUGUGUGUCUAUCAUAAGGAUUUAUUAUACAGCUUUUGCAGGAUUCAAUGCAUGUUUUGGUGCAGAUCGACUACAGAAAUGACAUCAGAAUCACUCUGUAAAAGAUUAAUUAAUCAGGUUCUGAAGAAAGAUAAUGAAGCAUGUCAUGAGUUGCUGCGCCAAUGGUGUGCGAGUCGUUGGUCAUCAACGAUGUGGAGCCUCCAUAGUUGAGAUCAUCUUCAGUGUCCUUCGUCUUCUAUUAAAGCUUCGACUGUGAAUGGGUCCACCAUUUGUAUUUUAAUUGGAUAAUCACGGCAGCCUCGAUCUAUUGUUUUAAUGUUCCGAUAAAUACAGACGGAAUCUACAAGACAAGCAGAUGAAGUUAUGCCCUCCACUUGCAUAUGCUUAUCUUGAAGUAGAGGAUGUUCCGGAAUUGCUUGUUGCUUUCAUCUCUUGUCCUUGGACAACAAUGAUAGAAUCUGGAAUGGACUCUGUGAAGAUAAAUGGCUUCUAUAAUACAAUCGGCAGCAUUAAAAAUAUGAUUUAUUGAGGUUGGUGAGAUGGGACCAAAAUUUCUCGGCAGUGUUUCAUGGUCUACGAAAACUAUACUUCAUCAACUGAGUUGGGUCUGAGAGAGAGGUGACAUAAUAUUUGGUUGAUACUUCUGUUGUCCUCUAAAACUUACCAAUACACGUGAUUUUUAUGUUA
Molecule: long non-coding RNA, 1875 nt
Organism: Musa acuminata AAA Group (dessert banana)
Lineage: Eukaryota; Viridiplantae; Streptophyta; Magnoliopsida; Zingiberales; Musaceae
Exons: 2
Source: RefSeq, a predicted model, not a curated record